GAUGACAUAGGGGAGCUCUGGAAAAUUGCUCAUAGUUUUGCAACAGAGCUCACAGGCUCAGAAAAUUCCCACAUUUUCAAAAAUGAAGGCUUUGGCGGAGGGGAGGGGGGGCGGUACUCCGCCACCGUCUAAAUUAGCAAGCCAAAAGCACAUGUGACUCAGGGAGGGGGGAGGGGAAGAGGCUGCUGUACGUUCCUUCUUCAUCUUGCCCAAUUAGCAGUUCUGUCUGAGGGAACAUUCUUCCUGUGGCAAAGAACACACUCCUGUCUCCCGUCAGCCUGAAAUAGAAUCCUGGAGAGCAUGCGCCCUGCUCUCCUCUGCUCGCUCCGGGACCCAUCCUUGAUGCUGUGCCAGGAUUUCCCCUGCCUCCCCCAGACCUCUUCCGCCAGAGUUGUUUUUCCUCUACUCAUCAAAGACAGCGACGCCUGCACCCGUGUUAACAGAACUAUCUAGAAUAAGGGUUCCAAGCCUAGGACGGAGAGCGGAGACUGUCAACCCCAGCCUCCUUCCCCAUACUCCAGCAUCUUCCACGUCCCCACCUCCACACAUCCCCACAGGUGGGAUUCCUGUCGCCCACUCAUCGACAUUCCAUUAAAAAUAGGGACUAUCAACAGGUUCCGGAACACUGCUCUCCAACCCGGCAGGCCACAUCUGUGCAAAAUAAGUUGCAUGUUCCCGUUCUGGUUGAAGGCGUCACUGUGGACCAUUCUGCCAGGGAGGCCUCGGGCUGCGCGUUCUUUCUGCUGAGUUCAGACAUGCCGAGCUGGAUCCCCCCACGCUCUCUUAAGCAGCACCCAUUUGGCAACUCAAUUUAUCAAGAUGGCUGACAGGGGAGGGGUGGACACUGAGGCAUGGCAGAGUUUUCUCCCGCGGGUGCCAAAUAUCCAGUGUGGUUAUUCAAGCCCAGAUUUCAGUGCUGGGAAUUAACCAAAUUAACUAAAGCAGACCUGUCUGGGUGGCCAUGAAGAUUCAGAUGAUUUGAAAAGAUGUGAUUCACAACCCCCCUCCUACGGGGCUCCAGAAAUAAUUCCAGACCCUUGAAGAUCAUUGAAACCUAAAGCAAGAAAGAUCUUUAAGAAGUCAUCUACUGGGGGCCAGCCCAGUGGUGCAGCAGUUAAG
This 1119-nucleotide long non-coding RNA is filed under the name Equus asinus (donkey). RNAcentral's name for it is "lncRNA (ENSEASG00005032049.1)". The record is from RNAcentral. Lineage: Eukaryota; Metazoa; Chordata; Mammalia; Perissodactyla; Equidae.